UACGUAGGGGGCGAGCGUUGUCCGGAGUUACUGGGCGUAAAGCGCACGCAGGCGGUCGCUUAAGUUUGGGGUGACAGCUGUCGGCUUAACCGGCAGAGUGCCUCAAAGACUGGGUGACUUGAGGGCCAAAGAGGGACAUGGAACUCCAGGUGUAGUGGUGAAAUGCGUAGAUAUCUGGAAGAACACCAAAGGCGAAGGCAGUGUCCUGGUUGGUACCUGACGCUCAGGUGCGAAAGCUAGGGGAGCGAACGG
Molecule: ribosomal RNA, 252 nt
Filed under: uncultured bacterium
Lineage: Bacteria
Description: partial 16S ribosomal RNA
Rfam family: Bacterial small subunit ribosomal RNA
Source: RNAcentral